UGGAAAUUUCAGUUUAUCACGUAGCAGAUAAAAAAGCUUCCUCUUCCACUUACUAGUUGCUGGGGAUAACUGAAACCUCAGUUCAUCAUCAUCGUCAUCCUCAAAUUCAUCACGAAAAUGCCUAGGAGGUGGCUUUGGUUUGACAGCUACUAUUAGUGAAUCUCCGUUGUUGAGUUGGACUACUUCGUCAUCUCCAUUUUCACUAUCAUGCAAUACACGUCCUUGCAGAACAAGUCUUAAAUUUUCAAUAGGCAUAUGUCGAUUCCCAGCAAUCAUAUUUCUCAAUUCAUGUACCUUGAUGGAAGAAGGAACAUUAAGGCGACAAGGAGGAGAAGGACCGAUGAUUUUCAGAAAGAUUUCUACCAUCUUCUUCUCUUCAAUUUCAUCCAUG
This 391-nucleotide unclassified non-coding RNA is filed under the name Hevea brasiliensis (rubber tree). Lineage: Eukaryota; Viridiplantae; Streptophyta; Magnoliopsida; Malpighiales; Euphorbiaceae. The record is from RNAcentral.